AACGAACGCUGGCGGCAGGCCUAACACAUGCAAGUCGAGCGAGGACUUCGGUUCUAGCGGCGGACGGGUGAGUAACGCGUGGGAAUGUGCCCUUCUCUACGGAAUAGCCCUGGGAAACUGGGAGUAAUACCGUAUACGCCCUAUUGGGGAAAGAUCUAUCGGAGAAGGAUCAGCCCGCGUUGGAUUAGGUAGUUGGUGGGGUAAUGGCCUACCAAGCCGACGAUCCAUAGCUGGUUUGAGAGGAUGAUCAGCCACACUGGGACUGAGACACGGCCCAGACUCCUACGGGAGGCAGCAGUAGGGAAUCUUAGACAAUGGGGGCAACCCUGAUCUAGCCAUGCCGCGUGAGUGAUGAAGGCCUUAGGGUUGUAAAGCUCUUUCAGCUGGGAAGAUAAUGACGGUACCAGCAGAAGAAGCCCCGGCUAACUCCGUG
Molecule: ribosomal RNA, 433 nt
Filed under: uncultured bacterium
Lineage: Bacteria
Description: partial 16S ribosomal RNA
Rfam family: Bacterial small subunit ribosomal RNA
Source: RNAcentral